Molecule: long non-coding RNA, 12194 nt
Filed under: Homo sapiens (human)
Lineage: Eukaryota; Metazoa; Chordata; Mammalia; Primates; Hominidae
Description: HSALNT0290239
Source: RNAcentral
UUAUUAUUAUUAUUUUAUUUAUUUAUUUAUUUAUUUUGAGAUGGAGUCUCACUCUGUCGUCCAGGCUGGAGUACAGUGGCAUGAUCUCGGCUCACUGCAACUUUCCACCUCCCGGGUUCAAGCGAUUCUCCCUGCCUCAGCCUCCCAAGUAGCUGGGAUUACAGGCAUCCAUCACGCCUGGCUGAUUUUAUUUUUAGUAGAGAGGGGUUUCACUGUGUUGGCCAGGCUGGUCUCAAGCUCCUGACCUUGUGAUCCACCCGCCUCAGCCUCCCAAAGUGCUAGGAUUACAGGCUUGAGCCACCGUGCCCAACCUAUAAUUAUUUUUUUGAGAUGGAGUUUGACUCUUGUCACCCAUGCUGGUGUGCAAUGGCACCAUCUCAGCUCACUGCAACCUCUGCCUCCCCAGUUCAAACAAUUCUCUUUCCUCAGCCUCCCAGGUAGUUGCAAUUACAGGUGCCCGCCACCACACCUGGCUAAUUUUUAAAAAUAUUUUUAGUAGAGACGGGGUUUCAGCACAUUGGCCAGACUGGUCUCAAACUCCUGACCUCAGGUGAUCCGCCCACCUCGGCCUCCCAAAGUGCUGGGAUUACAGGCGUGAGCCACCGUGCCUGGCCAUGUUGGGUUUUUUUGGGUGGGGAAGGGUAAAUGGGGAUUUGAAAAGUUGAACAUGUCAAUUUAAUUUAACAAGCCCUCAUCACGAGCAGAGCAUGAGCAGGGGCCACUGUCCUGGGUGUUUGGGGAGAAACAGAAGAAGGGAGGGAGGAGCAGCCCUCAGGUUAAAAGCAAUGAUUUGUUCCAACCAAUAUUUGAGUACCCACCCUGUGCCUGGUGUGCUGCUGGGUGCAGUAAUUCAGCAGCCAACAAAGCAAGCCCAUGCACUUGUGCCCUCCCAUUCCAGUGGGGAAGACAAUGUUUAAACAAAUUUACAACAUCGGUCCUAAGUAUUUUGGAGGAAAGCAGCUAAAUAAAAGGAUGAAAGAGGGAUGGGAACGAGGGAUGUUUAGAUGGCAUAGUCAGGGAAGGCCUCUCUUCGGAGAUCACAUUUGAGCAGACUCUAGAAUGAAAGGAUAGGGUAAGCCAUGCAAACCCCUGGGCAAAGAGGUCUCCAAGUAGAGAAAUGAAGCCCUUGAGGCAGCAGUGUCCUCAGUAGGUUCCAGAAAUAGCAAGGUCGCUGGUACAGAGUCAGGGACUGGGAGCGCAAUAGAAGACAUCAGAAAGUAGCCAGGGACCAGGAUAUUUAGGGCUUAGGUGAGGACUUGGAAUUUCAUUAGAGUGAAUGGGAAGCCAUUGAAGGCUUUGGAGCAGAGGAGUCACAGGGGCUUAUUUACAUUUUUAAAAGACCAUUCUGGAAAACAGUCUUUGUACUCAGGCAGGGACAAGUGGAAAAAAGGGGCAAAAUAAGAUUGUUACCCCAGUAUUCCAGGGGAGGAGACGGUGGCUCAGACUAAGGUAGUAGAGUAUAGGUGGGACGAAAUGGGCAGAUUCAAGGUACAUUUUGAAGUUAGAACAGUUUUCUGAGAGACUUCAUGCAGAGUUGUUGGAGAGAAAGGAGAAAAGUAACUAAAAGGGUAAGUGCCUGAGUAAAAGAACAGCAUUGCAGUUUUCUAAGGUGAAGACAAUUGGUAGAACAAAAGCUGAGAAUGGUCAUGCCUGUAAUCCCAGCACUUUGGGAAGCCAAGGUGGGAGGAUCACUGGAGCCCAAGACUUCGAGACCGACCAGCCUGGGCAAUGUAGUGAGACCCCAUCUCUACAAACAAUUAAAAAUUAGCUGGGCAUGAUGGUGCACGCCAGUAGUGCCAGAUACCCAGGAGACUAAGGCAGAAGGAUCGCUUGAGCCCAGGAGUUGGAAGCUGCAGUGAGCUGUGAUCUUGCCACUGCACUCCAGCCUGGUCAACAGAGUUGAGACCCUGACUGUUAAGAAAAUAGCACUUUGGGAGGCCGAGGCGGGCAGAUCACCUGAGGUCAGGAGUUUGAGGCCAGCCUGGCCAACAUGGUGAAACCCCGUCUCUACUAAAAAUACAAAAAUUAGCGGGGCGUGGUGGCAGGCGCCUGUAAUCCCAGCUAUUUGGGAGGCUGAGACAGGAGAACCGCUUGGACCCAGGAGGCAGAGGUUGCAGUGAUCUGAGAUCACGCCACUGCACUCCAGCCUGAGCAACAGAGAGCGAAACUGUCUCAAAAUAAUAAUAAUAAUUUGAUUUGAGUCAUGUUCACUUUCAGAUGCCAACACAUGCACCUAAGUGUAUAGUCAACAAAACAGUUGGCUGGACUAGCGGGAUUCAAGGGGAGUGGUUGGAGCUGGAGACACACAUUUGGGAGUUGGCGGCAUGAAGAUAGCAGAUCGAGCCUCAGGCAGGGAAGGAGACCUGGAGCGUGUGUGUGGCUGACAGGAACCAAGGACUGAUCUUGGAGCUUGGUGCGCUCCAACACAUGGAGGUCAGGAAGAGAGAGGAGUCCAGCCAGGAGGACAAGCAGUGGCCGUGGAGGGAGAGUGUGGAAGACUGAGGAAGUGGUUGCUUUGUCCAGGGCAGCCAAUAGGUUACAGGAAGGACUGAGCAGGGACCACAGGUUUUGUUAACUGAAAGGUGUAAGAAGUCCGAGGGAGCCAGGGGAUACCCUAAUUUUUCCCAAUUUCAGAACCAAUUAAGAAACAAAAAAUAAGACGAUGGGAGAUGGGAGACCAAAAUACCACCCUUAUUACUGAUAAAACUGCUGUUAGAAAAUGUGGUUACAUCUGGGAACACUGGAUUUCUUUUCUUUUCUUUUUUUUUUGUGAUGGCAUCUCGCUCUGUCGCCCAGGCUGGAGUGCAGUGGUGUCAUCUUGGCUCACUGCAAGCUCCGCCUCCCAGAUUCACACCAUUCUCCUGCCUCAGCCUCCCCAGUAGCUGGGACUACAGGCACCCGCCACCGCGCCCGGCUAAUUUUUUUUUUUGUAUUUUUAGUAGAGACGGGGCUUCACCAUGUUAGCCAGGAUGGUCUCGAUCUCCUGACCUCAUGGUCUGCCCGCCUCAGCCUCCCAAAGUGCUGGAAUUACAGGCGUGAGCCACCGCGCCCGGCCUGGAUUUAUUUUGUAAGGCUGAACCUCAGAAUGAGGCGGUUUAGAGCAGUGCUUCUUGAACUUUAUUGUGCACCAGAAUCCCCUGGGGAUCGUACUAAAAUGCAGGUUCUGAUUGAGUAGGGCUUGGGUGGAGCCUGAGAUUCUGCUUUUCUAAUAAGCUUCCAAGUGAUGUCAGUAUUGCCAUUGUGGGGAUCACUCUUUGAGUAGCAGAAGUUAAGAGGAACGCAGCGCAUAUGUCCCCUGAAGGCAGCCGAGGUUCUGAGAGAGAGGGAGGAAGUGGCCAGGCAGUCUAUGCCUAACCGCUCCUUCCAGACUCACAGGAACAUUCUAGUAAUGGGGCUCACUUCUCAUGGAGGGAGGCAUCAGGAGUGCUUCUACACUAGCAAGGUCAUUGGUGAGGGGAGCAUUUGUUUGAGUGGUGCCUAAUUGGAGUAGGUUCUAGGGAAAGUGGGAGGAGAGGAGGGUGAAACAGUACAAACAAUUCUUUCAUAGAUUUUUCUGUAAAAGGGAAAAGACAAAUGGAGUAACUGGAAGGGGAUAUGGGGUAAAGGAGAGGCUUUUGUUUUAAAGAAGGGAAAUAGCAUAGCUUGUGCAUGUACUAAUUGGAAAAAAUGAACUGGGAGGGAAAACCUGGCAGUGGGGAAGACAGUGAGGUGGAGAGAGUUGUGGAGUGGGCCUGAGGGACUGGGGGCCAGUGCACAGCAGAGAGGUAGGUCCUAGAUCCAACUGAGCACCCUGGCUUAUAUCCACAGUGCUGCCGACAGCUCAGUGAUAGGAACACUGCAAGUCUCUGGAUUGCUAGGACUCUUCAGUCUUAAGUUAAUGUCUGGCUGGGCGUGGUGGCUCAUGCCUGUAAUCCCAGCACUUUGGGAGGCUAAGGCGGGUGGAUCACCUGAGCUCAGGAGUUCAAAACCAGCCUGGCCAACAUGGUGAAACCCUGUCUCUACUAAAAAUACAAAAAUUAGCUGGGCAUGGUGGUGGGUACCUGUAAUCCCAGCUACUCGGGAGGCUGAGGCUGGAGAAUCACUUGAACCCGGGAGGCAGAGGUUGCGGUGAGCCGGGAUCACACCAUUGCACUCCAGCCUGGGCUACAGAGCGAGAUUUUUGUCUCAAAAAAAAAAAAAAAAAAAAAGUUAGUUAAUGUCAGCUCUAGGGCUUAUGUCAGGCCACGUCUUCCUGAAACUGGACUUGCAGUUUAAAAUGGGAGAUCAUCCCCGAAUCAGUGCAUAUUAUGCUGGUUGUGCCCUCAACUAGACCUCACCCAGGAGCAUGUAGGAUUGAAUCCUCACUAGGGUUGCACGCUUAGUAAAUCCCCAUGUCUCUUGCAAAGCUGAUAGUUUGGGAAGUCAGGUGACCCAUGGAAGCAUGCAUGAGUCUGGUGCGCUGCUUUUCUUUUGUUGUUGUUGUUUUGAGACGGAGUCUUGCUCCGUCGCCCAGGCUGGAGUGCAGUGGCACAAUCUCGGCUCACUGCAAGCUCCGCCUCCUGGGUUCACGCCAUUCUCCUGCCUCAGCUUCCUGAGUAGCUGGGACUACAGGCGCCCGCCACCACGCCUGGCUAAUUUUUUGUAUUUCUUAGUAGAGACAGGGUUUCACCGUGUUAGCCAGGAUGGUCUUGAUCUCCUGACCUUGUGAUCUGCCCACCUCGGCCUCCCAAAGUGCUGGGAUUACAGGUGUGGGCCACUGCGCCUGGCCCGGGCUCGUGCGCUGCUUUUCUAUCUGGUUCUUCUUGUUAUUCCACUUGCGGUUGGAUGGGGAGAUAUUCCACUUUCCCUUAGGAACUCUUGUCCCUGCACAGACCAUUUUAGCUAUUCUGAGCACAUCACAAGCAUACUCCUCUGGGGUGAGAAUAUAUAGCCUCUGGGCUUUUUCAGAAUUGCUCCUUCUGCUACUCUGGAAGCUAACGUGGAAUGAUUGCUUGAGUCCAGCAGUUCAAGGCCAGCAUGGGCAACAAAGCAAGAACCUGUUUCUUUAAAAAAAAAAAAAAAAAAAAAAAAAGGCGGGGGGAGCAGGCAUGGUGGCUUACACCUGUAAUCCCAGCACUUUGAGAGGCCGUGGCAGGAGGAUCACUUGAAGCCAGAGCUCAAAACCAGCCUGGGCAACUUAGUGAGCCCCCAUUUCUACAAAAAAUAAAAACAAUUAACUGGGCAUGGUGGUACACACCUGUAGCCUCAGCUACUCAGGAAGCUGAGAUGGGAGGAUCCCUUGAGCCCAGGAGUUUGAGACUGCAGUGAGCUAUGAUGGUGCCACUGGCGCCUGGGUAACAAAGCAAGACCCUGUCUCAAAAAAAAAAAAAAAAAAAAAAAGGAGCUGGGCAUAGUGGCAUGUGCCUGUAAAUGAAAGGCAUCAUUUCAUGCAAGCUCCUCUGAGCCCAGGAGUUCCAGCCUAGCCCAGGCAACAGGGCAAGACCACGUCUCAAAAAAAAAAAAAGUACUCUUUCCACCUAAAAUAUAUUCAGGUCAUUUGAGUUCAGUUUGAGUUCAGCUACGAGAAUUAUUUAGUUGAGUGAGUGUCAGAGCUGGGAUUUUCAAAUCUGCCCUUACUGGUAUGUUGCUUUACACACCCUCUUACGUAAAUCAAACUAGGAUUCCACCCUGGGAGGUUUGCAUAGAGGGCUGUUCUUGUAGAACUUGUGCUCAUGCUUUGAUUUGGGAUUUGGGGAGUUAGGGCAAGCCAGAAAGUUUUUCUGGUGGAUAAUAAUGUGGGUUGACUUUCUUAAGCAUUUUAAGCCAAGCACUUGAGUUUCUAACAACUAAAAAGCUAAGUCAGCCUGACACAGCUCUAGCGCGCCCUGGCUUGAUUCUGUUCAUCCCCAGGGGGAGACUUGCCUUUGUUCCAGUCCUGCUCUCCCAAGCCAGCUUACUGUAGUUUUCCAGCAAUUCUGAGAAGCAGUAUUUUUUACUGCUGAUUAGAACCUUAACAUGGAAAUGGAAAGUUUGUGUAGCAUGUAACAUUAUUAGAAGGGAAAACAUGACUAUAUGAUUAGAUACAUAUUGAUUUUAUGCAAUAUGUUUGCAUAAAAUCUCUUCAGUAGUAACUUGGUUAAAUUAUUCACAUUGACUCAGCAUAAUUUCUCCCUUGCUAAAUCUCAGACUAAAGCAAUCAAUUUGUUCCUGCAAGAAAGUCUGAUGGUAGGCUUUCCUUGUAACUGAGCCCCAUAGAAAGAGGAAGCAGCUGCAACAAAGUUGAAAAGGAUGCCUGUCACCAAGGUUCUUUUAAGGGAGCCAUUGUGUGAAGUUCUACUUGUGAAAUUUCUGCAAGUACUGUUUGUUCUCCAAAAUCCAGCUUUCCGUUGAAAGUCAAUGAAACAUCUCUAAAAUGCAGACAUACCCAGGUUCAUUGGGAACACAGUCACUGUGAGUAUACAUGAUUAUGUCCUGCUAACCCUAUUGGGAAAGAAUGCUGGGCUUGGCCCUAGUAAGUAGACUUGGGUUAAAGUUCACCUCCGCCACUAACUAGCUGGGAAGUUCAACUUCCCUGAGCUGAGUUUGUCACGUUAGAGAAUAUUAAUAAAUAUGAAAAUUGUGGAGCAGUCUUAAGUUUAAAAGGAACUUUCAUGGACAUUAGCUCAUUUUGCUGUGCCCACCCUGGGAAGGAAGCAGGACAGGCAGGCAGUGGCAUCCCUGUCGUCAAGCAGCCUGAGGACUGCUGUGAGCCUCUGGAGCAAGGCAGGAGUUUGAGGAGGCUCUCAGUCCUUUUGUCCUUUUUUUGAGACAGAGCAUCAUUCUGUUGCCCAGGCUGGAGUGCAAUGGCAUGAUCUUGGCUCACUGCAACCUCUGUCCCCCACCCUUACCACUGGGUUCAAGCAAUUCUUAGGCCUCAGCCUCCUAAGUAGCUGGGACUACAGGAUGCACCACCACGCCCAGCUAAUUUUGGGGGGGUUUUUUUUGAGACGAGUUUCACUCUUGUGGUCCAGGCUGGAGUGUAGUUGCGUGAUCUCGGCUCACUGCAACCUCUGCCUCCUGGGUUCAAGUGAUUCUCCUGCCUCAGCCUCCCGAGUAGCUGGGAUUACAGGCGCCCACCAACACGCCUGGCUAAUUUUUUGUAUUUUUAGUAGAGACGGGGUUUUGCCAUGUUGGUGGUCUCAAACUCUUGACCUCAGGUGAUCCACCCGCCUCGGCCUCACAAAGUGCUGGAGUUACAGGUGUGAGCCUGUGUGUCCUUUCUAUUGAGGCUUCUCUCCACAUUUUCUGAUCCUCAGUCUCCUUAUUUCCUGUAAGGCUGAGGUCCCAAAUCCAGCCUGUGAAAGAGAAAUGCCAGCAGAGGCAGCACCCAGCACAGGAUCUAUUAUUGCAGCAUGCCCUGUGGUCAGGGCCUUCAGUAAAAGCCCACAGACCCUGACUACUUUCUGGCGGACUCUGGAGGAAGGCCUUAACCACAGACAAAAGGACAAGGACAGUGCUGUGGAGGGACUGCUGGCUGCUGCAGCGUGAAGAGAAUAGGGAAUGCACUCUACAAAAAUAAAAAAGCAUAAAAUUGGAAAAAAUAUAUACCAAAAACAUUUCAAGGUUCUGGACAUCAACCAAAGGCAGGCAAAUUAAGAAGCAUUUAUUCUUGAGAAAAAACUGGCUGGGCACGGUAGCUUGCACCUGUAAUCUCCCAACACUUUGGGAAGCAAAGGUGGGAAGUUGGCUGGAGGCCAGGAGUUCAAGGCCAGCCUAUGCAACCAAGCAAGACCCUGUCUCUACAAAAAAUAAUAAUGAAUAAUAAAAAGAAAAAGAGUGGCUCACGCCUGUAAUCCCUGCACUUUGGGACGCCUAGGCAGGUGGAUCACCUGAGGUCAGGAGUUCGAGACCAGCCUGACCAACCUGGUGAAACCCAUGUCUCUACGAAAAAUACAAAAAAAUUAGCCAGGCAUGGUGGCUCAUGCCUGUAAUCCCAGCAACUUGGGAGGCUGAGACAGGAGAAUCGCUUGAACCUGGGAGGCGGAGGUUGUGGUGAGCCGAGAUUGAGCCACUGCACUCCAGCAUGGUUGACAAGAGCAAAAUUCUGUCUCCAAAAAAAAAAAAAAAAGAAGUACUAAAGGAAGUCCUUCAGCCUAAAAGAAAAGGACACUAGAACAAUAUCUUGAAUUCACCAGAAGGCAUGGAGCACUAGAAUGAUGAAGGCAGCUAAAUGUAAAACACUAUAUAUUUCUCUUUUUUUUUUUUUUUUUUUGAGACAGUGUCUUGGUCUGUUGCUCAGACUGGAGUGCAGUGGCACAAUCCCGGCUCACUGAAGCCUCCGCCUCCCGGGUUCAAGCAAUUCUCCUUCCUCAGCCUCCUGAGUAGCUGGGACUACAGGUGCACGCCACCACACCCAGCUAAUUUUUUGUAUUUUUAGUAGAGUCGGGGUUUCACCAAGUUAGCCGGGAUGGUCUCGAUCUCCUGACCUCGUGAUCUGCCCACCUCGGCCUCCCUAUAUUUCUCUUUUAUACUUUAUAUUUUUCUCUCUUUUUUAAUUUUUUAAAAAACAAGGUUGUUUAAACCAGUUAUAACACAUUGCUGGGUUUAUAACAUAUAAAGAUAUAUAUAUAACACAAAGGAAGAGCAAGGGAAGGGUAGUAAAGUUACUGUAUUUUACCAGAAUUUUCAGUAUUGAGCUGAAAUAUACUGUAAUAAGUUAAAGCUACAUACUGCAAUCCCUAGACAACCACACAGAAAGUAACUCAAACAUAUAACUAAAAGGAAAAAACCCUUCAACUUUGGGAUCAGGAUAAUACAUACAUACACAUACACAAAUGUAACACAGAAAAAGGAGUUAAAGAAGCCAGGCGUGGUGGCUCACGCCAGUAAUUCCAGCACUUGGGGAGGCCGAGGCAGGCAGAUCACCUGAGGUCAGGAGCUCAAGACCAGCCUGGCCAACAUGGUGAAACCCUGUCUCUACUAAAAAUGCAAAAAUUAGCCAGUCAUGGUGGCAUGCCUGUAAUCCCAGCUACUUGGCAGGCUUAAAACAGGAGAAUUGCUUUAACCCGUGAGGUGGAGGUUGCAGUGAACUGAGAUGGUGCCACUGCACUCCAGCCUGGGCGACAGAGUGAGACUCCAUCUCAAAAAAGAAUUAAAGAGAAACAAAGGGACAACAAAGAUGAGAAAUAUAGAAAACAAGUAUUAAAAUGUCAUCCAUAUAUUCAACCAUAUCAACAAUUACAUUAAACAUGAAUGGACUAAAUAUUCCAAAGGGCACAGACUGUAAAACUGUAUAAAAAAGCAAGAUUCAACUAUAUGCUAUCUACAAGAGAUCCUUUAGAUUCAAAGACACAAAUAAUAGAGUGAAAGUGAAAAGAUAUACCAUGCAAUCAAGAAUCACAAGAGAGCAGGAAUAGCUAUAUGAACAACAGUCAACAUGGCCUUUUUCCCCAAGUUCUUCCUGCAUACAUUUAACUCAGCAUAGACUUUAAUAGUAGUAUUAAUAUUAGAAACAUAAAGGAACAUUUUAUGAUGAUAAUGGCUAUAUCAAUACAUUAUGAAGAUUUAGCCAUUAUAAAUAUAUACACUGCUAACAUUAGUCUCAAAAACAGAAUUGAAAGGAAAAAUAUACAAUUGAAAAUCCAUGAUAGGCCCAGUACAGUGGCUCAACGCCUGUAAUCCCCGCACUUUGGGAGGCCGAGGCAGGCAGAUCACUUGAGGUGAGGAGUUCGAGACCAGCCUAGCCAACAUAAUGAAAUGCUGUCUCUACUAAAAAAAAAAAAAAAAAAAAAAAAAUUAGCUGGAUGUGGUGGCACUUGCCUGUAAUCCCAGCUACUCAGGAGCCUUAGGCAGGAGAAUCGCUUAAACCUGGGAGGUGGAGCCUGUAGUGAGCCGAGAUCAUGCCAGUGUGAUAUUGAGUCUUGCAAAUCCGUUAACAUGUUACAAUGUCUUAUUUAGAUCUGUAAUUUGCUUCAGCAAUGUUUUGUGGUUUUGAGUGUAUAGGCUUUGGACUUAUUUUAUUAAAUUCAAUAUCUUAUUCCAAAUAUUUUAUUCUUUUGAUGUUAUUGUAAAUGACACUUUUUUUUUUUUGAGACUGAGUCUCACCCUAUUGCCCAGGCUGGAGUGCAGUGGCACCUCCCAGGUUCAAGCAAUUCUCCUGCCUCAGCCUCCUGAGUAGCUGGGAUUUUUAGUAGAGAUGGGGUUUUGCCAGUUUGGCCAGACUGGUCUUGAACUCCUAGGCUCAAGUGAUCUGCCUGCCUUGGCCUCCUAAAAUGCUGGGAUUACAGCCAUGGGCCACUGUGCCCGGCCAUAAUUUUUGAAUUUUUUUUUUUUGGUAGAGAUGGGUUUCCGCCAUGUUGCCCAGGCUGUUCUCCAACCCUGGGCUCAAGUGAUACUCCUGCCUCGGCCUUCCAAAGUGCUGGGACUAUAAGUGCAGGUGUGGACCACCGUGCUUGGCCUUUUUUUUUUUUCUUUUUUUUUUUUGAGACAGGGUUUUGGCUCUGUCACUCAGGCUGGAGUGCAGUGGUACCAUCAUGACUCAUUGCAGCCUCAAUGUCCCAGCCUCAAGCAGUCUUUCCACCUAACCCUCUCGAGUAGCUGGGACUACAGGCAUGCACCACCACACCUGGCUAGUCUUAUUUUUAAUUUUUGUUUUUUUAAGUAGAGAUGGGGGUCUCACUAUGUUGCUCAGGCUGGUCUCCAACUCCUGGGCUCAAGUGAUUCUCCCACCUCAGCCUCCCAAAAUGCUGGGAUUACAGGCGUGAACCGCCAUGCCCAGCAGAAAAAUUGUCAUUGGAAUAAAGUCUGGGGUUUUGUUAAAAGUUUUAUAUCGGCCGGGUGUGGUGGCCCAUGCCUGUAAUCCUAGCACUUUGAGAAGCUGAGGGGGGAGAUUCCCUGAGCUCAGGGAUUCAAGACCAGCCUGGACAAUGCAGUGAAACCCUGUCUCUACUAAAAUACAAAAAAUUAGCUGGGCGUGGUGGCGUGCACCUGUAGUCCUGGCUACUUGGGAGGCUGAGGCAGGACAAUUUCUUGAACCCAGGAGGCAGAGGUUGCAGUGAGCCGAGAUCACGCCACUGCACUCCAGCCUGGGCGACAGGGCGAGACCUGGAGUGCAGGCACAAUUAUGGCUCCCUGCAGCCUUGACCUCCCCAGGUUCAGGUGAUCCUCCCACCUCAGUUUUUCUAUUUUUAGUAGAGCCCUCCACCUCCCGGGUUCAAGCAAUUCUCCUGCCUCAGCCUCCUGAGUAGCUGGGAUUACAGGCAUGUGCCACCACGACGGGUUAAUUUUUGUAUUUUUAGUAGACACAGGGUUAUACCAUGUUGCCCAGGCUGGACUUCAACUCCUGGGCUCAAGUGAUCCACCUGUCUUGGCCCCACAAAGUGCUAGGAUUACAGGUGUGAGCCACCACACCUGGCCAGCAGUUUCUUAAAAAGUUACACUUACCUUAAAACCCAGCAAUCCACUCCUAAGUAUAUGUCUAAAAGAAAUGAAAACAACAGGCUGGGUGUGGUGGCUCACACCUGUAAUGCCAGCACUUUGGGAGGCUAAGGUGGUAGCUCUCCAGACCACCCAGGGCAACAUGGUAAAACCCCGUCUCCACUAAAAAUACAAAAAAAUUAACCGGGUGUGGUGGGGCACACCUCUAGUCCCAGCUACUUGGGAGGCUGAGGCAGGAGAAUCACUUGAGCCCCAGAGGCAAAGGUUUCAGUAAGCCGAGAUCGUGCCACUGCACUCUAGCUUGGGCUACAGAGUGAGACUCCAUCUCACACACACACACACAAAAGAAAUGAAAACAACAAUUUGUACAUGAGUUCAAAACAGAAUUAUUUAUUUCCCAAACUAGAAACAAUCCAAAUGUCUAUCAACAGAUAAAUGGAUAAGCAAAUGAUGACACAAUUGCAUUAAUGGAAUACCACUCAGCAAUGAAAAGGAACAAACCACUCAUACCUACAACACAGAUGAGCCUCAGAAACGUGAUGCUAAGUGAAAGAAGCCAGACCAAAAAAAUUAUAUGCUAUUAUUCCAUUUCUAUGAAAUUUCUGGAAAAGGCAAAAACCAUGCAAAGUAGAUCAGAGGUUGGCUGGGGGUGAGAGCAGAGACUGACUACAAAUAGGCCCAAGGGAACGUUUUGGGGUGAUGGAAGUUUUCUAUAAGUGGAUUAUGGUGAUGGCUACACAACAGUAUAAAUUAAAGGUCAUCCAAAUGUGUACUUACAAUGUUUGAAUUGUAUGACAUGUAAAUUAUCUCAUUAAAUCUGU